RNAcentral lists this ribosomal RNA (253 nucleotides) under uncultured bacterium. RNAcentral describes it as "partial 16S ribosomal RNA". It matches the Rfam family "Bacterial small subunit ribosomal RNA", at positions 524 to 776 of the family's 1533-position model. The record is from RNAcentral.
UACGUAGGGGGCAAGCGUUGUCCGGAUUUAUUGGGCGUAAAGAGCGUGUAGGCGGUUUGGUAGGUCCGUUGUGAAAACUCGAGGCUCAACCUCGAGACGCCGAUGGAAACCAUCAGACUAGAGUCCGGAAGAGGAGAGUGGAAUUCCUGGUGUAGCGGUGAAAUGCGCAGAUAUCAGGAAGAACACCAAUGGCGAAGGCAGCUCGCUGGGACGGUACUGACGCUGAGACGCGAAAGCGUGGGGAGCAAACAGG